CUUGUUUUUUUCUGGGAAAGACUGUCUCCACUCGGAGAUUUAAAAAUAACUUUCUGUGCUUUCUUUUAGUACUUUAAUUGGAAAAACCUGGAUUUUAGUUUCAUUUCUAUCGUCUAUUGGUUUUGUGACAUUGGGCAAGUUGAGUAAUCUGUCAGAGCCUCAGUUUCCUCAACUGGAAGGAUUAGAGCAGAUGAUUUGUACCAUUGUAAGGAACUUUCAAUUAUAAAAUGUCUUGUUUGCUUUUCAGUGAAAUUUGCUUUUGUUUUGUGCGGGGACCUGAAGUUGGGGGCAGGGUCAGGGAAAGAGGUAAAAAGACAUGGAAGGAAGACAGACACAUGCACAGAGGGUGGAGACAGAAACCAGGACUGUGAACAAAAUCCAAAACUGCCCCAGAGAAGAUGGAGGGAAAACAAAGGAAAACAGACUCAAGGAAGGUAGAUACUGAGACCCCAAGUGGGAUGCAUUUUUCAUAUCAUAGGAGGUAAAACACAUGUUGGGUCCCUUUGUUCAUUCCCUCUCCCUCUUUUCCUCCCUCUCCCUCCUCCCUCUGUUUUCCUUCCUUCUUAGAAUAAAAAAGUUAAGUGUAAUACAGAGGUUCUGAAUUAGCACAAAUCGUCAAGUGCAAAAGUUAAAGCUUCAGAGUCUUCCUCAGUGUGUAUGUACAUAGUACUUAAAGCCAAGUGCUUUGAACUCCUCAGACACAGUGUGUUGGAAUUGUUACUACAAUAUUGAUUUAUCUAUCGCCUGGCAGUCCCUUUCCAGGUCUAAAAUUCUGUGUUUGAAUGUAGUGUACAUGUUUUAGUAUUUCUGUAAGAACUGUAUCUUCUGCAUUUCCUGCUUUUGGGAUAUUAAAUCUGUAAAGUUAAUAAUGGCUUCCUACGUGUUUUGUAUUUUCACAUCUAAGACUGAAGUUCUCCCCAUAGAUUAUGCCUUUAAGAAGCCUAGCUUCAGUCUUUGGACACCUGUCUUCCGUGAAAAUUUGGGCUGAGAUAUUCCACUGCUUCCCUGUUAGUCUCCCCGUCUGCUAAGCAUGGGUAAUAGUAUUCAGCAAUGUGUAGUUAACGAAAAUUCUUACGUGACCAGACCCUCUAAAGUCUAAUGUUCAGUUAUUUCCAUUGCUUAUUAAAAAAUUUUCUUUAAGUAUUUAUUUAUUUUUGAAACAGAGAGAGAGCACAAGUGGGGGUGGGGCAGAGAGAGAGGGAGACACAGAAUCCGAAGCAGGCUCCAGGCUCUGAACUGUCAGCACAGAUCCCGACGUGGGGCUCGAACCUGCGAACCGUGAGAUCAUGACCUGAGCCAAAGUCAGAUGCUCAACCGACUGAGCCACCCAGGUACCCCAUCCAUUGCUUAUUUUUUAAAAGUCAAUUUAUAUAUUGUCCUUAGACCCCAAUUUAUGAUUCUUUCUUGUUGCCUGGUUUGGGGGGAAAAAAAUCCUUAAAGAAAAUUGUAUGCUUACCACCUUGGCGAUAUGUGAAUUGAAUACACUCUGACCUUUUAGCUGGUGGUAAUUUCCUCUCACAAACUCUUUGUUGCCUUUUUAACCUCACGGACCCCCUGCCCCUCCGAAUGGGCCUGGGACAUUAUUAUCUGCUGGCUCCCCCAAGUUGCCCUUCAAAACAGACGGCCGGACUUCUUGAAAUCCUUGCUGGUUAUCAUGGCAGCGGCUGCCGCCGUGGGCUGAUUGGAAAGGAAGUCAUUGCGGUUGUCAGAAACACGGUCUGGAGGAGACGGGGCUGAAAGUGCAAGUACGUGGCUUUGGCUUAAUGGCUCCAAGACCGGCUGUUGUGAGCAGUUGCCGGGGCCUCGGAUGUCCUCUUGUCCUAAGACUUGAUAAAAACUUUCUCCUCCACUUCUGGAGGAUGGCUUCCUUUGGAGAGACUCAACCUUUGCUGCUUCCUCAUCGUGCGCAUUUUAGAUGCAGUCCCUCGUCUCAUCCCUGCCCUCCUUUUACCUAAAGUAAAACCUAACCGAGAGGUGGUGUUUGAGGUUUCACUCUGCGUGCGGCAGUGUGGGCAGGAAGAGGAAGGUCCAGGGGGUGACCUGCGAAGGCCUUUGAUAUGGUUGGGUCGAUGGUGUAUAAACUGAGUUAAGUAACAGUCUAAGUUGAUGAGGUAAAACAUAGUGAAGGGUCAUAAACCUUGCUAAUUCGCUGGUGAGGAAGGUCGUAUUUAGUACAGGAGUGCCCACAGUUGUUUUGCUGGGUUUGCUGGGCACUUGGAAAGGUGAGACAUAAAAGGCGAAAAAAUAAAAGGGAUCCAGAAUGUAAGCUCUGGCGAUUGAAAACGUUUUUAUGUGUGACUUUUACAAGUUGUCAUUAAUUAUUGUAAUCAUAAGCCUGGGAGGCUAAGGGAAACUUUCCUCCGGCCGUGGAAGCUGACUCAGACUUUCCCCUGGGCUCCCUCCCCAUCUCAGGAUCUCCUGCCUCUGGCUUUGGAAAUUAGUCGCAGGAGGUCCUGUGUGUGAUGUAAUAUAGCAAAUACUUAAAUUCCGCGUCAGAAAUAACUAAAGUUCUGCAUUGGAAAACAGCACUGGAGAGAAGGGAGUGAACGGAGAGAUGUUGAAUCUUGGUCUCUCGUGGAACAGCGUCACUGAUGGCAGGUGUCGCACUGUGCGGAGUCCUCGUGUAGGAAGGUUACCUGCUGUCUCGCUGCUCAUUUUAGGACACUCGGCUGGACCGGGCGUCAGCCACCUUUUUCCUUCAGGACCUCAAGGCUGAUGUGUGAAGACGGACACAGUUUCGGCCAGUAGGAAAGUGGAGUAGGAAUCUGCAGGCUGGUCGCCUUCUGGUCAUGCCGAGAAACACCCUUCUGGCCUGUCUUCCUGUUUCCUUAAGAGACAGUGUUACAGCGUCAUCGUCGUCGUCGUCAUCAUCAUCAUCAUCAUCAUGCGUGGAAUGGGAGUGGAGCUCCUCUUGCCCUGGGACUAUGUCUGUGCUAAAUUUCAGCAGCCUCUUGUUUCCUGGUGAUUUUUUUUUUUUUUUUUGAAGAGUUCUGUUCAAGUCAGAGGUGUCUGCCUUUCCAGCUACUCUUUAAUAGUUUCUUCCUUACCUGGGGGGGGGGAGGGUUCCCGUUAGCCCACGCCACGGGAGACACACGGUGGGAGAGGUAUCCCACCCCGGGUAAUCGUCUCUGGGGGGCUUCAGUGGUGAGCCCGUGGUUGCUGCCUUCACUGGGAGAAGAACUUUUAAGUAAGAAGGGAGAAGAAACUUCUUGUUCGGGCGGCAAAAUGAAAACCAGCUUUUCUGAGGCCACAUUGGGAUCGUGUGUAAUCAACUAUGAAUUCAUCCUCUUUUUCCUCCCCUCCCCGCCCCCCUGUUUGCAGUUGAUCUCACGACAGCUGUUUCCAGCUGUCCUCUGGAUUUUGCCCAGGCCCCUUGGGAUGGAUGGCUGCAUGACUCACACAACUGGCUUGUUUCCACAGCGGUUCAAAUCUAGCUUCUCGAGAAGUAGGGGCGAGAGGAGAGAGGGGGACUCUGGUGGCCCCGGAGUAGAUGUUCCUGUGGAGAUUACGGUCGGCUGACCGCUCUGGUUUCGAUUGGUCCCCCUUCACGGCAGCGAGCUGAGAAGAGGACAUUGCUGGGGGAGGGGAGGCCAGUGUGUUAGCUGGAGAAGUGGUUUUGGAGAAAGCCAGAUGUUCUUGUUUUGUUUUGAUUUUUUUCCUUUUUUUUUAAUUAAUUUUUUUUUUUUUUAAUUUACAUCCAAAUUAGUUAGCAUCUAGUGCAACAGUGAUUUCAGGAGUCGAUUCCUUAGUGCCCCUUCCCCAUUAGCCCCUCCCCCCUCCCAGCACCCCUGCGGUAACCCUGUGUUUGUUCUCCGUAUUUAAGAGUCUCUUCUGUGUUGUCCCCCUCCCUGUUUUUAUAUUAUUUUUGUUUCCCUUCCCUUACGUUCAUCUGUUUUGUCUCUUAAAGUCCUCAUAGGAGUGAAGUCAUACGGUAUUUGUCUUUCUCUGACUGACUAAUUUCACUUAGUAUAAUACCCUCCAGUCCCAUCCACGUAGUUGCAAAUGGCAAGAUUUCAUUCUUUCGGAUUGCCGAGUAAUACCCCAUUGUCUCUAUAUACCACAUCUUCUUUAUCCAUUCAUCCAUCCAUGGACGUUUGAAGCCAAAUGUUCUUUUACUUUUUUUUCUCUUUCCCCCUCCAGAUCUGCUUCAGGGCAAACUGCAACUUUCCUUUUCAGUGGGACGUAGGGUUGUGUGUGAGAUGGGUGGCUGAGUGAGAGCUGAGGGAAGUGUCGGUUAAAAAUGCAGGUGAUGCUAGGGGCGCCUGGGUGGCUCAGUCGGUUAAGCGUCUUGGGUCAUGAUCUCACGGUUUGUGAGUUCGAGCCCCUCGUUGGGCUCUGUGCUGACAGCUCAGAGCCUGGAGCCUGUUCGGAUUCUGGGUCUUCAUCUGUCUCUGCCCCCCCUGCUCGCUCGUGUGUGCUUGCUCUCUCUUUCUCUCUCUCUCAAAAAUAAAUAAACAUUAAAAAAAAUUAAAAAAAAAUUCAGGUGAUGCUCUCCGUACUCCAGCUGAUUCUUGGUAGGAGGGUGUGUUCCUUUCUCUUCAAAGCGGUCCCUCCCUUUCCCAACAGUAAGCACUGCCCUUGCCCCCCCACCUUCCUUCCAUGAAGGCCACUCCUUCCCAGCGUGGGAACCUAUACAGUGAUACAGCUUGGUAAAGAAAAUUUUAAAAAUUCUUUAGGCAUUAGAAAAAUUCUUCACUUUGAUCUCUUUGAGCUCUACACUCACAUUUCUUAAAGGGUAGCAAGCUGCAGAAAAAAAUUCUCUAGACCUGCUCUGAUACAGGAGCCAUUAGCCACUUGUGGCUGUCGUGGUCUUGAAAUAUGGCUCGUCCAAACUGAGAUGCUCUGUGAGUGUAAAACACGCACUAGAUUUUAUUUGCUUAUUGUUUAUGUAUUUGUGUAUUUAUUUAUUAAAGUUUAUUUAUUUAUUUUGAGAGAGACAGAAGCAUUGCAAGCGGGGAAGGGGCAGAGAGAGAGAGGGAGAGAGAGAAUCCCAAGCAGGCACCUGAUGUGAAACUCGAACUCACGAAACUGUGAGAUCAUGCCUGAACCGAAGGCAAGAGUCGGACGCUUAACCAACAGAGCUGCCCAGGCACCCCCUCAAAUACCCACUAGAUUUUAAAGACCAGUGCAAAAAAUUUUCAUUGAAAAUUUACAAAUCAUUGACUAUUGUUGAAAUAUUGACAUGUUGAAACGCUAAUAUUUUGGAUGUGUUGGAUUCCCUAAAUUAUAUUAAAAUUUACCUUACCUGGUUUCUUUUUUAAAUGCUGUUAACUAGAAAAUUUUAAAUUAAGUAAAUGGCCCAUAUUUCUUGCUGUCAUUAUAUUUCUGCUCUAAACAGAAGAAGUUACUGAACAACUGGUGUGCUCCUCUCUGGUAGUGUCCGUUUUCCAGAAGCCAAGUGAUAGUUUGGGACUCACAAGCCGGUGUGCUACAACAUGCCUGCUGUAAUAGUUGUCUUUUGCCCCAGAACAUAUUACCCCUACACUUACUGACUUGAAACAACACACCUUUAUUAUGUCAUAGUUUCUGUGGGUCGUAAAUCUGAGAGCAACUUAGCUGUGCGGUUCAGGCUUAGGAUCCCUCAUGAAGUUUCAGUCAGGCAGUUGCUGGUGUCGCACUCAUCUGAAGUCUGAACUGGGGCCGGAGGAUUCCAAGAUGGUUCGUUUCACGGCUCUUGGAAUGUUGUCAGUUCCCCGCUGGCUUUAGUUCCUUCCAACACGGACUUCUUAGGCUUCUUGAGUGUCUUCCCUACCUUAUGUUGACUUCCCCCUAGAGUGAGUGAUCAAGUGAGAGAUCGAGUAAGGGAGAGAGCAGGUGAAGGGGGGAGUUGCAGUGCUUUUAAUGACCUAGUGCCUGCAGUAUACGUUAUCAUUUCUGCUUUAUUUUAUUUGUUAGAAGCAAGUGUCUGAGUCUGAUUCCUUCUCUCAAGGAGAGGAAAAUUAGGCUCCAGUUUUUUAAUUAGUUUUACUUUUUUUUUUUUUUUUUUAGGCUUCACUUCUUGAAGGGAGUACUAUAUAGGAAUUUGUGGACACAUUUAGAAACCGCUACACUUUCCUGUUUGUCUGCUGUUUUCCCCUGUUAGUGUACCUGGAUUUCACUGACCGCCUCUGAAAAUGGUCAGAGUUCAGUGGCUGAAGUCCAUUUUACCCUCACCUGCUACCUCAGCAGUGUUGCUUGGAACAGUUUCACCCAUUUUGAGACUGCCAACUCUGACCUGUAAUCAAAAUUGCCUUUUUUUGGUCGGGCGACGGGGAGGCCACGAUGAAUUUCAGCUUUGCGUGAGCCUUAAAUACUGGUGUGUGCCUCAGUUGAUUUUGAGUAGCAGAAUAAGGCUGGAUAUUCCAUGGUAAAUGUGUUGUUAUUAUGUGGAUAUUAUAUUUCUCUUAAUUAAGAUUCGGAGCACUCAGGAACCAUUCUGUAUCUCAUUCUGCCUCUGGGAGGUUUGAAAGUAAAGCAGGGCCUCCUUCUGUUUUCUGCUCCAAGUAGGGGCAUGGAGGUGAAUUCACUGGUGCAGGAGGCGGAGUGAAGGUGUUGUGAGGGAUGGAGAGGUAUGUCUGGCAGAGACAUAAAUGGUACGCUCUGGUAGCUUAAACCGGAACGUGGGAGCAAAGGUACUGUUAAAUAAGAGUGUGUAAAUAACACGCUGCCGAGUUUCCCAAGAUGGAUUCAUCUACGCCUCCCCUCCCUAUAGCUGUUUUAGUUUUGGCUCAGCCUCACACUUCCGGAGUGUAGACUGACACAGGAGGCAAGACCUACAGGGUAAGUGGCCCAGUGGACGUAAUGAGGGUCAGUUUUUGUCUGGCCUCCAUCAAAAUGGGGCUUUAGUGCAAGGAAACGAGGUAUGUAUGGGAAAGUGGUUGGGUCAGAAUAGGGCUCAAGAUUCAGGACAGCAGGGAUUCAUUUAAAACCACUUGACUUCAGUUUUUUUCUGAUGGCUUGGUGUGAUUUACUCAGGUACUUCCUAGGGAAUCGAGCGUGAUCUUUUCCAUUUGAGAAGUCUGAAGGCGUAGAUGAAUGGGUUGUAUUAGAAAGUUUGUUGCCUUGGACAGAAAAUCAAAAAUCUAUGGAGUCUGGCUGUCUUCUCAAUCCUUGUUAUCAUUAUCAUAAUCUUGGUACUUAAGUUUAAUUUUGAAUAGUUGCUUUCCUUUGUGUGUGUGUGUGUGGGGGGGGCGGUUUAUCUCUUGUCUCUGUAACCAGACUUCGUUUUCUUCGCUUUCAUGCUUUUUAUUUCUUUGUGUUCUAAUAACAACUUCUGCGUUGUAUAUUCAAGAGGAUAUGAACUGAGGCAUGGUGGCGGGACCCACUGGGGCUGGGAGAGGCGUAGAGCGCAGUGGUUGAGAGUUCGGGGUUUAGAGUCCUACCGGCUCUGCUGCUUAGUACAUUGAUAACCUCGUACAACUUUUCUUAAUUUCUCUGAGGCUAAGUUCCUUCAUCUGUAAAAUGUUAAUGAUAGUUUUUGCCUCAUAGACUUGUGAAAACUAAUGAGAUAUUACAAGUAAGGCACUUAGCACAGGAGCAGCUACAUAAGUUAGAUUUGUAAAAGUGUAAUUGUCUAGCUUAUUAAUGCUUUUUAUUAGAGGCAUCCAAGUUCUUGAAUCUUGAGCCUCUCAUUACUUAUUUGACGUUAUUUAUUGGUUCAUCAGUCACUGAUACCAGAAGCCUAAACCGGGUGUGUGUUCUGGUCAGCGUGAAUGGGUCCACAUCCUAACUGACUCUGCUCAGAGAGUGUUCUAGUCUGCCGGGCAAAAAUAGGUGUUCUGGGCCAUGGCUUUUUCCUUGCAGGGCCCAAGGGCGCCCCCUCUCUCGAGAGACCAGAGGCUGCCGUUGUUUUCUGUACGGUAGAGCCUGACUUGGCCUGCAGUUAAGGCUCUCCAGAAGGUCACUUAAACCCGGCUGAUGUGAACUCCUCGCAAAAGGCCCAAGUCCUUCUGCCGCCGUCCAGUUUUCUAUUAAGAAACUACUGGGACUUUUUUUUUUUUUUUCUUCUAAAGAAACUGCAGCAGCCAAACCAAUCAUUCCUUUCAACUCUGCACUCCUUGGUCAGCAUCCAGGAUGUAAGCAGCUCUGGCCAUCUGUAUAUUCCUGUGACCUCGGGCCUGACUGAUUUUUCUCUCCUGACCUGACCUUCAUAGCUCCUCCCCUCAUAGACUGUCCCGUUUUUCCUCUUGCAUUCGUAAACAGUCCUCCCCAUCCUCAGCCUUUUCACGGACUCCUAUAUCUAGUCUUUCCUCUUAGCUAAAUCCCAUUUCUUUCUGAGAA
Long non-coding RNA from Neofelis nebulosa (Clouded leopard), 8259 nucleotides. RefSeq lists it as uncharacterized. NCBI's taxonomy places the organism in Eukaryota, Metazoa, Chordata, Mammalia, Carnivora, Felidae. The record is from RefSeq and is a predicted model, not a curated record. The transcript is spliced from 2 exons.